Molecule: ribosomal RNA, 433 nt
Filed under: uncultured bacterium
Lineage: Bacteria
Description: partial 16S ribosomal RNA
Rfam family: Bacterial small subunit ribosomal RNA
Source: RNAcentral
AGCGAACGCUGGCGGCAGGCCUAACACAUGCAAGUCGAACGAACUCUUCGGAGUUAGUGGCGGACGGGUGAGUAACACGUGGGAACGUGCCUUUUGGUUCGGAAUAACUCAGGGAAACUUGUGCUAAUACCGAAUGUGCCCUUCGGGGGAAAGAUUUAUCGCCAUUAGAGCGGCCCGCGUCUGAUUAGCUAGUUGGUGAGGUAACGGCUCACCAAGGCAACGAUCAGUAGCUGGUCUGAGAGGAUGACCAGCCACACUGGGACUGAGACACGGCCCAGACUCCUACGGGAGGCAACAGUGGGGAAUCUUGCGCAAUGGGCGAAAGCCUGACGCAGCCAUGCCGCGUGAAUGAUGAAGGUCUUAGGAUUGUAAAAUUCUUUCACCGGGGACGAUAAUGACGGUACCCGGAGAAGAAGCCCCGGCUAACUUCGUG